RNAcentral lists this transfer RNA (72 nucleotides) under Caudoviricetes sp. RNAcentral describes it as "tRNA-OTHER". It matches the Rfam family "tRNA". Rfam says of the family: Transfer RNA (tRNA) molecules are approximately 80 nucleotides in length. Their secondary structure includes four short double-helical elements and three loops (D, anti-codon, and T loops). Further hydrogen bonds mediate the characteristic L-shaped molecular structure. tRNAs have two regions of fundamental functional importance: the anti-codon, which is responsible for specific mRNA codon recognition, and the 3' end, to which the tRNAs corresponding amino acid is attached (by aminoacyl-tRNA synthetases). tRNAs cope with the degeneracy of the genetic code in two manners: having more than one tRNA (with a specific anti-codon) for a particular amino acid; and 'wobble' base-pairing, i.e. permitting non-standard base-pairing at the 3rd anti-codon position. Lineage: Duplodnaviria; Heunggongvirae; Uroviricota; Caudoviricetes. The record is from RNAcentral.
AUGACAUUAGCUUAGUUGGGAGAGCGACGGAGUAAUAUCCGUAGAUCAUGGGUUCGAGUCCCAUAUGUUAUU